This 446-nucleotide ribosomal RNA is filed under the name uncultured bacterium. RNAcentral describes it as "partial 16S ribosomal RNA". It matches the Rfam family "Bacterial small subunit ribosomal RNA", at positions 338 to 795 of the family's 1533-position model. The record is from RNAcentral.
CCUACGGGAGGCUGCAGUCGAGAAUCAUGCACAAUGGGGGAAACCCUGAUGGAGCGACGCCGCGUGGGGGAAUGAAGGUCUGCGGAUUGUAAACCCCUGUCAUGUGGGAGCAAAUUAAAAAGAUAGUACCACAAGAGGAAGAGACGGCUAACUCUGUGCCAGCAGCCGCGGUAAUACAGAGGUCUCAAGCGUUGUUCGGAAUCACUGGGCGUAAAGCGUGCGUAGGCUGGUUCGCAAGUCGUGUGUGAAAGGCGCGGGCCCAACCCGCGGACGGCACAUGAUACUGCGAGACUAGAGUAAUGGAGGGGGAACCGGAAUUCUCGGUGUAGCUGUGAAAUGCGUAGAUAUCGAGAGGAACACUCGUGGCGAAGGCGGGUUCCUGGACAUUAACUGACGCUGAGGCACGAAGGCCAGGGGAGCGAAAGGGAUUAGAUACCCUUGUAGUC